Molecule: ribosomal RNA, 245 nt
Filed under: uncultured bacterium
Lineage: Bacteria
Description: partial 16S ribosomal RNA
Rfam family: Bacterial small subunit ribosomal RNA
Source: RNAcentral
GACGAACCGUGCAAACGUUGUUCGGAAUCACUGGGCUUAAAGGGCGCGUAGGCGGAUCAUCAAGUCAGGGGUGAAAUCUUUCGGCUCAACCGGAAAAUUGCCUUUGAUACUGAUGGUCUUGAGGGAGGUAGGGGCAUGUGGAACUUCCGGUGGAGCGGUGAAAUGCGUUGAUAUCGGAAGGAACGCCGGUGGCGAAAGCGACGUGCUGGACCUCUUCUGACGCUGAGGCGCGAAAGCUAGGGGAG